GAUGAACGCUGGCGGCGUGCCUAAUACAUGCAAGUCGAGCGAACAGACGAGGAGCUUGCUCCUCUGACGUUAGCGGCGGACGGGUGAGUAACACGUGGAUAACCUACCUAUAAGACUGGGAUAACUUCGGGAAACCGGAGCUAAUACCGGAUAAUAUAUUGAACCGCAUGGUUCAAUAGUGAAAGACGGUUUUGCUGUCACUUAUAGAUGGAUCCGCGCCGCAUUAGCUAGUUGGUAAGGUAACGGCUUACCAAGGCAACGAUGCGUAGCCGACCUGAGAGGGGGAGCGGCCACACUGGAACGGAGACACGGGCCAGAGUCCUAAGGGAGGAAGAAGGAGGGAAGGUUGCGAAAGGGGUGAAAGCCUGAAGGAGCAAAGAAGCGGGAGUGAUGAAGGUGUAAGGAUCGUAAAACUCUGUUAUUAGGGAAGAACAAAUGUGUACGUAACUAUGCACGUCUUGAGGGUACCUAAUAAGAAAGCCACGGCUAACUACGUG
This 497-nucleotide ribosomal RNA is filed under the name uncultured bacterium. Its description in RNAcentral is "partial 16S ribosomal RNA". It matches the Rfam family "Bacterial small subunit ribosomal RNA", at positions 28 to 507 of the family's 1533-position model. The record is from RNAcentral.